AUUGAUAGGGCUGCUUAGCAGGUUACUGUGAUAUAGUAAGUGUAAGAUUCGGGAUCUUCGUC
RNAcentral lists this transfer RNA (62 nucleotides) under Hypoderaeum sp. Hubei-2014. Its description in RNAcentral is "tRNA-Ile". Lineage: Eukaryota; Metazoa; Platyhelminthes; Trematoda; Plagiorchiida; Echinostomatidae. The record is from RNAcentral.